GGUCGGUUGGCCGAGUGGUUAGGCGUCGGUCUGCAAAACCGCUUACACAGGUUCAAAUCCUGUACCGACCU
RNAcentral lists this transfer RNA (71 nucleotides) under Candidatus Magnetobacterium bavaricum. It matches the Rfam family "tRNA". From Rfam's summary of the family: Transfer RNA (tRNA) molecules are approximately 80 nucleotides in length. Their secondary structure includes four short double-helical elements and three loops (D, anti-codon, and T loops). Further hydrogen bonds mediate the characteristic L-shaped molecular structure. tRNAs have two regions of fundamental functional importance: the anti-codon, which is responsible for specific mRNA codon recognition, and the 3' end, to which the tRNAs corresponding amino acid is attached (by aminoacyl-tRNA synthetases). tRNAs cope with the degeneracy of the genetic code in two manners: having more than one tRNA (with a specific anti-codon) for a particular amino acid; and 'wobble' base-pairing, i.e. permitting non-standard base-pairing at the 3rd anti-codon position. The record is from Rfam by way of RNAcentral. Lineage: Bacteria; Pseudomonadati; Nitrospirota; Thermodesulfovibrionia; Thermodesulfovibrionales; Magnetobacteriaceae (SeqCode).